Molecule: long non-coding RNA, 481 nt
Organism: Monodelphis domestica (gray short-tailed opossum)
Lineage: Eukaryota; Metazoa; Chordata; Mammalia; Didelphimorphia; Didelphidae
Source: RefSeq, a predicted model, not a curated record
CUCUGAGCAGAGCGCCUCCCGCUGAGCUCCCGGGCUGAGGCCGGCACCCACCCGGGCGAGGGGAGGGAGCGAGGCUUUUCCUCGAGCUUCCCGCGUGAGGCAGUGGGCAGGGCCGAGGCCAUCGGCGCCCAUUGGACAGAGAGACAAAGGGAGACUCAGGCGCACCCAGUGAGCCGCAUUUAUGAAGCAGCUCCCGGCCGGCUCUGCGCUCCCCGCUAGGAUCCAGUCCUGGCCUCCAGGGGGCGUUAGGAGAGCUCGACUCGACCAAAGAUGGCGGCCGGAACCCCGCGGGAGGUUGAGGUUUCUGCCAAGCUCUGGGGAACCGGCUGAGAAAAAGGACUCAAAAUGAGAACUGAGAAGACCUGCCUCCUCUCCAAGGUUAUUGAACAUCACUCCAUCUACUCCCAUCUCCCAACAGCAAAGGUCCUAAUCCUUUUGGCCCCAAAUCCUCCCCCCAAUACAGAUUAAAAGCAAAACCCCA